Long non-coding RNA from Octopus sinensis (East Asian common octopus), 102 nucleotides. RefSeq lists it as uncharacterized. NCBI's taxonomy places the organism in Eukaryota, Metazoa, Mollusca, Cephalopoda, Octopoda, Octopodidae. The transcript has 3 exons. The record is from RefSeq and is a predicted model, not a curated record.
UACCCUUGUGUCCUCACCUUCCUUCAAAUGUCUGAACCAGUUUUGUGCCACUCCUUCCUUGACAGUUCCUGGGCCUUCCACAUCAUUCAUUUCUUAUACUCA